Molecule: long non-coding RNA, 1674 nt
Organism: Lolium rigidum
Lineage: Eukaryota; Viridiplantae; Streptophyta; Magnoliopsida; Poales; Poaceae
Exons: 6
Source: RefSeq, a predicted model, not a curated record
CUAGCCCGCCGUCGCUGACGUAGCCACGGCCGCGGAAAGGCUCCGCGACCCCGACCAGCUUCGCUGGUUCGCCCGCCAAAUCAUGCUGCCCAAGUGGAUGGUCGACGCCCCUCCCCACCUCGCCCGCGACUGGCAUGUUUCUGCCAGGCCUGCUGGCAAGCGAUGCCUGGUCGUGUCAUCGAACGCCAUCACGAUAAGCAGGCUUCGCAAUGGGACCAUUCUCCAUCGGUUCCUUUCGGUGCUUCCCAACGGAUGAAAGAGGGGGAUCUCUGGCCCAGCAAGCUCCUACUGGAUCCUCGACUGCAUAUUCCACGAGCCUGAUGGGACGUAAUACAUCGUUGAUAUGAUUUGUUGGCGAGGCUAUUCGCUGUAUGAUUGCACCGCCAUGUUCAGGAUUUUCUGGGUGAACUAGAAGCUCACCGAGAUUUCUGCUGGUGAUCCUCCGUCGAUGUACCAUCGGUAUAGAUUUAGUGCCUUCCCUAUGUACGAGUCUACACUCGUGGGUCUUGAAGCAGCAUUCUCAGGAAGCACACCUUAUGUCAAGGAUGGUUUGCUGUUUUACAACAAGUAACGCCUGUUUCUAGAAUACCUGUAUUAAUCUGGUCUUGAUACAUGUGCUCAUGUUUGGUAUCUCCUUUUACAGUUUACACUGUUGAAUUGACUGAUCUAGGUGAUUUUUUUCUCUUAUCAGGCAUGUGCAUUAUCAAUCGGGAAUCACGCCCCUGACACUGGUAUGGAAAGAUGUGGCUUGCAUACGAAUAGUGAGAGACACAUUCCAAUAGAGCAGCAUGUUGUUCUUGAGCUGCAAGAGGAUGGAAAACUAAUUGCUUCGAUGGGUCUCUAAUUGUAUUUGGUACAGCGAAUUUAUACAGAAGUCAAACCUGCAGCCAGGGAACCUUCUCCGCUUCAGCUUGUAGAUGGGAAGAUAGAGAUUGGUGAGCUGCAAUUUGCCGGGAAGCUGAACCGCACUCGUACUCUUGCUGAUAGCCAUUCCAAAGUUCUGUUUCAGUAUGCUGCCAGGCAUGCUCCCCUCAGAAUCAAAGACCUCAUAGCCUCUGUUCAAUCAAACAGCAUGGUGGUUGAAUCUACAGAUGCUGAAAUGCAAGAUUAAGGUGAGGGAGUGCGGGUUUCUAUUUGCCCUUCUCUGCGAUUUCUCCAUGUUAUUCACUCUUUCGUAAUUGUGUAAUGACAGUCAUGCAAGGAAGAUUUUUUUGCAUUUGACUGGACACCAUGCUAGGAUGAAAUUGUUGCAAGUGAGUCCAAGGUCUGUCUCACUCUUUUAAAGUAUACACCCUGGAAGGUGUAUCAAAUUUCAUAGAAGAAGAGGCCAAGACGGCCGAACAACGCCAACAAAGGCACCCGAUACAAACACGACGCCACACGGAUUACAACACAACCCACACCAGCCGAACGACAAACUCGCCUUGCACCGUCCAGAGGAGACGAUACACUAAGCUACUGGGCCGCGUCACGACUGAAGAAGGGAACUCCGGGAAGCCAACUCCAACUCCAUGAUGGCACAAGCCAACACACCGCCCACCCAAAUGUGCCCAGGAACGACGAGUGAUCGGCGGGGCUGAACUGUUGGAGAUAUGCCCAAGAGGCAAUAAUAAAGUGGUUAUUAUAAUAUAUCUUGUGUUUAUGAUAAAUGUUUGGAUACCAUGCUAUAAUUGU